GACGAACGCUGGCGGCGUGCUUAACACAUGCAAGUCGAACGGAAAGGCCCUGCUUUUGUGGGGUGCUCGAGUGGCGAACGGGUGAGUAACACGUGAGUAACCUGCCCUUGACUUUGGGAUAACUUCAGGAAACUGGGGCUAAUACCGGAUAGGAGCUCCUGCUGCAUGGUGGGGGUUGGAAAGUUUCGGCGGUUGGGGAUGGAGUGGCGGCUUAUCAGCUUGUUGGUGGGGUAGUGGCUUACCAAGGCUUUGACGGGUAGCCGGCCUGAGAGGGUGACCGGCCACAUUGGGACUGAGAUACGGCCCAGACUCCUACGGGAGGCAGCAGUGGGGAAUAUUGCACAAUGGGCGGAAGCCUGAUGCAGCAACGCCGCGUGCGGGAUGACGGCCUUCGGGUUGUAAACCGCUUUCGCCUGUGACGAAGCGUGAGUGACGGUAAUGGGUAAAGAAGCACCGGCUAACUACGUG
RNAcentral lists this ribosomal RNA (468 nucleotides) under uncultured bacterium. Its description in RNAcentral is "partial 16S ribosomal RNA". It matches the Rfam family "Bacterial small subunit ribosomal RNA", at positions 28 to 507 of the family's 1533-position model. The record is from RNAcentral.